This 1346-nucleotide ribosomal RNA is filed under the name uncultured bacterium. Its description in RNAcentral is "bacterial SSU rRNA". It matches the Rfam family "Bacterial small subunit ribosomal RNA", at positions 28 to 1381 of the family's 1533-position model. The record is from RNAcentral.
GACGAACGCUGGCGGCGUGCUUAACACAUGCAAGUCGAACGGAAAGGCCCUGCUUUUGUGGGGUGCUCGAGUGGCGAACGGGUGAGUAACACGUGAGUAACCUGCCCUUGACUUUGGGAUAACUUCAGGAAACUGGGGCUAAUACCGGAUAGGAGCUCCUGCUGCAUGGUGGGGGUUGGAAAGUUUCGGCGGUUGGGGAUGGACUCGCGGCUUAUCAGCUUGUUGGUGGGGUAGUGGCUUACCAAGGCUUUGACGGGUAGCCGGCCUGAGAGGGUGACCGGCCACAUUGGGACUGAGAUACGGCCCAGACUCCUACGGGAGGCAGCAGUGGGGAAUAUUGCACAAUGGGCGGAAGCCUGAUGCAGCAACGCCGCGUGCGGGAUGACGGCCUUCGGGUUGUAAACCGCUUUCGCCUGUGACGAAGCGUGAGUGACGGUAAUGGGUAAAGAAGCACCGGCUAACUACGUGCCAGCAGCCGCGGUGAUACGUAGGGUGCGAGCGUUGUCCGGAUUUAUUGGGCGCAAAGGGCUCGUAGGUGGUUGAUCGCGUCGGAAGUGUAAUCUUGGGGCUUAACCCUGAGCGUGCUUUCGAUACGGGUUGACUUGAGGAAGGUAGGGGAGAAUGGAAUUCCUGGUGGAGCGGUGGAAUGCGCAGAUAUCAGGAGGAACACCAGUGGCGAAGGCGGUUCUCUGGGCCUUUCCUGACGCUGAGGAGCGAAAGCGUGGGGAGCGAACAGGCUUAGAUACCCUGGUAGUCCACGCUGUAAACGGUGGGUACUAGGUGUGGGGUCCAUUCUACGGGUUCCGUGCCGUAGCUAACGCUUUAAGUACCCCGCCUGGGGAGUACGGCCGCAAGGCUAAAACUCAAAGGAAUUGACGGGGCCCCGCACAAGCGGCGGAGCAUGCGGAUUAAUUCGAUGCAACGCGUAGAACCUUACCUGGGUUUGACAUGGAUCGGGAGCGCUCAGAGAUGGGUGUGCCUCUUUUGGGGUCGGUUCACAGGUGGUGCAUGGCUGUCGUCAGCUCGUGUCGUGAGAUGUUGGGUUAAGUCCCGCAACGAGCGCAACCCUUGUUCACUGUUGCCAGCACGUUAUGGUGGGGACUCAGUGGAGACCGCCGGGGUCAACUCGGAGGAAGGUGGGGAUGACGUCAAGUCAUCAUGCCCCUUAUGUCCAGGGCUUCACGCAUGCUACAAUGGCUGGUACAGAGAGUGGCGAGCCUGUGAGGGUGAGCGAAUCUCGGAAAGCCGGUCUCAGUUCGGAUUGGGGUCUGCAACUCGACCUCAUGAAGUCGGAGUCGCUAGUAAUCGCAGAUCAGCAACGCUGCGGUGAAUACGUUCCCGGGGCU